Non-coding RNA from Oryza glaberrima (African rice), 211 nucleotides. NCBI's taxonomy places the organism in Eukaryota, Viridiplantae, Streptophyta, Magnoliopsida, Poales, Poaceae. The record is from Rfam.
AAUAAGUGCAGUUUUGCUUCAUGUUAAAUGUUUGACUGUUUGUCUUAUUUGAAUUUAUUUUAUGAUUAAUAUCUUUGUUGUUACAGAUGAUAAAAUAUGAUAAAACAUGAAUAAUAUUUUAUGUGUGACUAAUUUUUUUAACUCUUUCAUAAUUUUUUUCAAUAAGACGGAUGGUCAAACGUUAAACACGAAUUCUAUGGCUGCACUUAUU